UACAGAGGUCUCAAGCGUUGUUCGGAUUCAUUGGGCGUAAAGGGUGUGUAGGUGGCGCGCUAAGUCGGGUGUGAAAUUUCGGAGCUUAACUCUGAAACUGCAUUCGAUACUGGCGUGCUUGAGGACUGGAGAGGAGACUGGAAUUCAUGGUGUAGCAGUGAAAUGCGUAGAGAUCAUGAGGAACACCCGUGGCGAAGGCGGCUCUCUGGUACGUGACUGACGCUGAGACGCGAAAGCGUGGGGAGCGAACGGG
This 253-nucleotide ribosomal RNA is filed under the name uncultured bacterium. RNAcentral describes it as "partial 16S ribosomal RNA". It matches the Rfam family "Bacterial small subunit ribosomal RNA", at positions 524 to 776 of the family's 1533-position model. The record is from RNAcentral.